GCCGGCUUAGCUCAGUUGGUAGAGCAUCUGAUUUGUAAAUCAGAGGGUCGCGUGUUCAAGUCAUGUAGCCGGCA
Molecule: transfer RNA, 74 nt
Filed under: Streptococcus dysgalactiae subsp. dysgalactiae
Lineage: Bacteria; Bacillati; Bacillota; Bacilli; Lactobacillales; Streptococcaceae
Description: tRNA-???(tgta)
Rfam family: tRNA
About the family: Transfer RNA (tRNA) molecules are approximately 80 nucleotides in length. Their secondary structure includes four short double-helical elements and three loops (D, anti-codon, and T loops). Further hydrogen bonds mediate the characteristic L-shaped molecular structure. tRNAs have two regions of fundamental functional importance: the anti-codon, which is responsible for specific mRNA codon recognition, and the 3' end, to which the tRNAs corresponding amino acid is attached (by aminoacyl-tRNA synthetases). tRNAs cope with the degeneracy of the genetic code in two manners: having more than one tRNA (with a specific anti-codon) for a particular amino acid; and 'wobble' base-pairing, i.e. permitting non-standard base-pairing at the 3rd anti-codon position.
Source: RNAcentral